This 293-nucleotide long non-coding RNA is filed under the name Carica papaya (papaya). Its description in RNAcentral is "long non-coding RNA (CPAP_LNC008171)". The record is from RNAcentral. Lineage: Eukaryota; Viridiplantae; Streptophyta; Magnoliopsida; Brassicales; Caricaceae.
GCCUCGGGUUGGCUGUUUUUGGCCGAAUUCGGCCACACUCGCAUCGGUCCUUGUGAGAAAACAACCCUAGGGCCCUCGGGGGGCCAAAAAAUCACGGAAAAAUGGAGCUUACCGGCGGCGGCGCUCUCGGGUGCGGCGGCUCUCUGGCGAGGUUCGUGUUUUGGUGAUUCGGCUCCGGUCAACCUGUAGAGAAAAGAAUGGUGAUCACGGUGAUAUAAAAAUUGCAUCGAACGGAGGCCGGGAAGGGCCUCGUCGGAGGCAAAAACCGAGAGGGGCGCGGCGGCGCCGCUGGG